UAAUAAAAUGAUGAUGGAAUGUUACAUUGGAAAUGGUCGGGAUAGCUCAGCUG
Molecule: transfer RNA, 53 nt
Filed under: Globularia punctata
Lineage: Eukaryota; Viridiplantae; Streptophyta; Magnoliopsida; Lamiales; Plantaginaceae
Description: partial tRNA-Phe
Source: RNAcentral